AAGUCGAGCGGACAGAUGGGAGCUUGCUCCCUGAUGUUAGCGGCGGACGGGUGAGUAACACGUGGGUAACCUGCCUGUAAGACUGGGAUAACUCCGGGAAACCGGGGCUAAUACCGGAUGCUUGUUUGAACCGCAUGGUUCAAACAUAAAAGGUGGCUUCGGCUACCACUUACAGAUGGACCCGCGGCGCAUUAGCUAGUUGGUGAGGUAACGGCUCACCAAGGCAACGAUGCGUAGCCGACCUGAGAGGGUGAUCGGCCACACUGGGACUGAGACACGGCCCAGACUCCUACGGGAGGCAGCAGUAGGGAAUCUUCCGCAAUGGACGAAAGUCUGACGGAGCAACGCCGCGUGAGUGAUGAAGGUUUUCGGAUCGUAAAGCUCUGUUGUUAGGGAAGAACAAGUACCGUUCGAAUAGGGCGGUACCUUGACGGUACCUAACCAGAAAGCCACGGCUAACUACGUGCCAGCAGCCGCGGUAAUACGUAGGUGGCAAGCGUUGUCCGGAAUUAUUGGGCGUAAAGGGCUCGCAGGCGGUUCCUUAAGUCUGAUGUGAAAGCCCCCGGCUCAACCGGGGAGGGUCAUUGGAAACUGGGGAACUUGAGUGCAGAAGAGGAGAGUGGAAUUCCACGUGUAGCGGUGAAAUGCGUAGAGAUGUGGAGGAACACCAGUGGCGAAGGCGACUCUCUGGUCUGUAACUGACGCUGAGGAGCGAAAGCGUGGGGAGCGAACAGGA
Molecule: ribosomal RNA, 736 nt
Filed under: Bacillus mojavensis
Lineage: Bacteria; Bacillati; Bacillota; Bacilli; Caryophanales; Bacillaceae
Description: bacterial SSU rRNA
Rfam family: Bacterial small subunit ribosomal RNA
Source: RNAcentral